AUUGAACGCUGGCGGCAGGCCUAACACAUGCAAGUCGAGCGGAUGAAGGGAGCUUGCUCCUGGAUUCAGCGGCGGACGGGUGAGUAAUGCCUAGGAAUCUGCCUGGUAGUGGGGGAUAACGUCCGGAAACGGGCGCUAAUACCGCAUACGUCCUGAGGGAGAAAGUGGGGGAUCUUCGGACCUCACGCUAUCAGAUGAGCCUAGGUCGGAUUAGCUAGUUGGUGGGGUAAAGGCCUACCAAGGCGACGAUCCGUAACUGGUCUGAGAGGAUGAUCAGUCAACUGGAAAGGGAGCCCGCGCCCAGCCCCCCAGGGGAGGGAGAGGGGGGAAUAUUGGGAAAAGGGGGGAAAGCCUGACCCAGCCUUGCCGGGGUGGUGAAGAAGGUUUUCGGUUUGAAAAGCCUUUUAAGGGGGGGGAAAGGGAGGAAAGUUAAAACUUGGUUGUUUUGCGGUAACAAACAAAAAAGGCACCGCUUACUUCGGG
RNAcentral lists this ribosomal RNA (483 nucleotides) under uncultured bacterium. RNAcentral's name for it is "partial 16S ribosomal RNA". It matches the Rfam family "Bacterial small subunit ribosomal RNA", at positions 29 to 507 of the family's 1533-position model. The record is from RNAcentral.